Molecule: long non-coding RNA, 1561 nt
Organism: Bos indicus x Bos taurus (hybrid cattle)
Lineage: Eukaryota; Metazoa; Chordata; Mammalia; Artiodactyla; Bovidae
Source: Ensembl
UCGGGCACAAUGAAUUUGUUCUGCUCUAUGUUUUAUUUUGGUUUGUGUUUCAUUCAGAAAUGGAAUAAACCUCAGACCCAAAUUCAACUUAGAAAAGUAUGUCUGUUUUUGCUUUUGAAUUGAAAGAAAAAAGGGGGAAAAAAAUCACUCACCCUCUCCUUUCAAUCAAAAAGCAAAUAAAUACCAAGGAGAAGUCUUCUCACUUCAGCACCCUGGACCCUUAGGAGUCAAAAAGGAAGGAUCCUGACUACACAAGCUGUGAUGAAUUUGAUUUGACAACAGACAGCAACAAACACCUGUGUCGAGGAGGAAGUUUCAGAAUAUCUCAUCAAUGCUCAGAAGUUAAGUGACUUUUAAAAGAGUUAUAUGGAUGUUGAAAUAAGGAACUUUUUAUUUAAUAAUAGUUCACCUGUGGUGGAGGGACUAUGAGGUCAAGAGGACACUGAAAAAUUCUCCAGUGUGAAAUUCUGCAAAUUCAAUAGUAGCCUUAAUUCAGAGGAAGAUGAAAAUUCAAACUUGGAUGGGAAGACUUCACGUGACAGAGUGAAGAGAGGGGAGCACUUCCAGUUGGAGCUGUGGGGCAUCAGCCACUCUCCCACUUCCUGUGAAGCUCUGCAAACAGCUGUUGGAGAAGUCAGGUACCUGUAUUCUGCACGGACUGCUGGGCAGCGCUGACACUCUGGAGAAGGUCUGCCUCUGCACUUUCCUGGUUCUAUGCAGGCAGAUGAGUACCACAGCUGUAACUGAGGCACACGGCAAUAAACACAGUGGAGCCAAUUUCUACGAUGGCGAGAGAGGGGGCAUCAGAGUUGACAACAAUGACAAGGAUCCAAGGACCGUCCUUCUGACAAGUUUCAGGUCUUCUUGAAGGUAAUGCAUUGUAUGAGUGGUUAAUUUCACGAGGAAUAUUGAAUUCCAGGUAUCGGAAGGCACAUAUUUCCCAGGAUGUGGUAUGUAUGUAUGUGUGUAUAUGGACAUAUUUUAAUAUAAAGUGUCUUAUAAAUUUCACAUUGUGUUUUGCUUUACUGUUAUUUCAAAAGAUUUAAGUGAAUGUCGAAUAGCACUCAAUUUCCUGAAAUGAUUAAAUUCAGUCUCUGAAGAAUCUGGGGAACAGGCCUGUAAUGACAUUUUGAUGACUUUCAUUUUAAGGUGUAAUAGAAAUUGAGUAAAAUAUUUUAAUAGCUAUUGUCUAAUAUCUCAUUCCAAAUACAAUGUUUUUAUUGCUCAUUCUAGCUUACAAUUUUCUGGUGAUAAUAAUGUUGGCUGCUGAUUGUUUCUUACAUAGAAAUCAUUUUAUCCUUAUGUAGAAGUAUUUUAGAAAUGUCUUCAUGAAUUUAUCUCAGCUGAAGCAAUUGUACUGAACUCUUGAGACAAAAUAGUAUUUCCUGAUUCCUCCCAUUUUAAUUUGGUACUUCCUUACAAUAUUUAGGUGUAUCUUAAAGGAACAUAUUAAAUAUUACAUAUGAUAGUUUGUGGUUUAAAGAAGAAAAAACAGUCAUUCAUAUAAGUCAGGGAAGGCUGAGGAAAGAGAAGGAAUAAAUAUUGUUACUGGCCAUUAUCA